AGCUGUGAGAGCAAUUUGGCUGAGACAUCUGUUGCCCCUUUGUUCAUCAGUGCUGAGUCUACAGAUCUGAUUGGUGAGGCAGAUGUGCCCCUUCUUCCCUCACUGCUCCCCAGACACCCCUCCCCCCAAAGCUGUACACAUGGAAGUAAUGACAAAUAAACAGGAAGGGAAGCCAUGGUCUUGGGUAAGCUUG
RNAcentral lists this small nuclear RNA (193 nucleotides) under Ailuropoda melanoleuca (giant panda). RNAcentral describes it as "7SK RNA". It matches the Rfam family "7SK RNA", at positions 1 to 198 of the family's 331-position model. From Rfam's summary of the family: 7SK was discovered as an abundant small nuclear RNA in the mid-70s but a possible function has only recently been suggested. Two independent studies have found that 7SK RNA binds the CDK9/cyclin T complex (known as elongation factor P-TEFb). P-TEFb activates transcription by phosphorylating the C-terminal domain of RNA polymerase II. Lineage: Eukaryota; Metazoa; Chordata; Mammalia; Carnivora; Ursidae. The record is from Rfam by way of RNAcentral.